CCUACGGGCGGCAGCAGUGAGGAAUAUUGGUCAAUGGACGAGAGUCUGAACCAGCCAAGUAGCGUGAAGGAUGACUGCCCUAUGGGUUGUAAACUUCUUUUAUAUGGGAAUAAAAUGUUCCACGUGUGGGAUUUUGUAUGUACCAUAUGAAUAAGGAUCGGCUAACUCCGUGCCAGCAGCCGCGGUAAUACGGAGGAUCCGAUCGUUAUCCGGAUUUAUUGGGUUUAAAGGGAGCGUAGGUGGAUUGUUAAGUCAGUUGUGAAAGUUUGCGGCUCAACCGUAAAAUUGCAGUUGAAACUGGCAGUCUUGAGUACAGUAGAGGUGGGCGGAAGUCGUGGUGUAGCGGUGAAAUGCUUAGAUAUCACGAAGAACUCCGAUUGCGAAGGCAGUUCACUGGACUGCAACUGACACUGAGGCUCGAAAGUGUGGGUAUCAAACAGGAUUAGAUACCCGUGUAGUC
Molecule: ribosomal RNA, 460 nt
Filed under: uncultured bacterium
Lineage: Bacteria
Description: partial 16S ribosomal RNA
Rfam family: Bacterial small subunit ribosomal RNA
Source: RNAcentral